AGUCAUUGGCUGGCAUGCAGUCCUUCUUGACAGCCAUGACCUACUGCUCCUACUCCUUUGGGUUCUACUUGAGCUCCCUUCUCGUCUCUCUCGUGAACAAGAUCACAUCGAGCUCAUCCAGGGAUGGCUGGCUCAGCGACAAUGACCUCAACAAGGACAGGCUCGACCUCUUCUACUGGCUGAUGGCUGCCCUCAGCCUCCUCAACUUCCUCAGCUACCUCCUCUGUUCAAGAUGGUACUGUAGCAGCCAAUCUCCAUCGGCUGAUCUACCACCAGGUCCCCAUGGAGAAGACAUUAACCACCUCAACUUCACUUCCUCCAAGCACGUUGCAGCCGAUCAGGACAUUCUGUAAAGAGCCAUCACCUCUUCCAUGAUUCUUUAUCUGUACUCUU
This 393-nucleotide long non-coding RNA is filed under the name Musa acuminata (dwarf banana). RNAcentral describes it as "long non-coding RNA (MACU_LNC005049)". The record is from RNAcentral. Lineage: Eukaryota; Viridiplantae; Streptophyta; Magnoliopsida; Zingiberales; Musaceae.